Phragmites australis (common reed) is the source of this 2336-nucleotide long non-coding RNA. RefSeq lists it as uncharacterized. The transcript has 4 exons. The record is from RefSeq and is a predicted model, not a curated record. NCBI's taxonomy places the organism in Eukaryota, Viridiplantae, Streptophyta, Magnoliopsida, Poales, Poaceae.
CCCGUCCGCAUCCUUUGUUCCGUCGCCGCCACUCCCGCGAAGAAGCACUGGGCGGCGUCGCCCUUCUUCCUGUUCUCCACCCUGAGCCCGAGCCCCGCGCACCACCUCUUUGGCGCCUCCGCGGUGUCCCCGCGCAAGCUCCCCGCAACCCCCCGGGCCGCCGUCCGCGCAAUAACACAGCGGGCAGCGACCGGAAGCACAGCAGCGGGUUUCGCGGGAACACGGGCGCAGCAAUCCUCACGGCGCUUGCUCCGCUCGGUUCGGCUCCGUAAUCGGAGUCCUCGCAAUCACCUGAUCGUCGCGUCGCAUCCCUUUCUCGUGGCGUUCGCUCCGCUCAGUUUGGCUCCAUAGACUCAAAGCCCCGUCCAGUUGGCUAUUGAGUGGAUCCCGGUCCGGGAGCGCAAGCAGCUGGGAUCGAUUCCCAAGAUGAUAUGUCUUGGCUUUUGAUUGAGGGAGGUUGUGUGUGCGUGCAUCCUGGUGAUCGUGUAACCGAGGAGAGUUGGUAUUUGUUUCCCAGCUGUCCGAAAAUUGAAAUUCCUAUGUGAAGCGCCAGGUAUUUUCUGCAAUGUAAAGCUCCAUGCCUUGGCUGUUCACGGGCAUAGUCUUGCUAUACUUGGAAGCAAUCAGCAGCGCCAGGAUUGCAAUAGAGUAUAACCGUGAUGUAGGUAGCAUUGGCACCAAAACAUAUGCCAUUUAUUGUCGUCGAUGGUAAAUUUGCUUUUGUAUCUCCAUCCAAUAUCAGUUUCUUUUCUUUCUUUAAAGUUUGUUAGAGAUAUUAGAAAAAUUGAGGCAUAUAUACUGCUAACAUGUUAUGCCUAUAAAAAAGGAUAAAUAUAUGUCAUCCAUUUGAUUCUAUUAAAACUAGAAUUGGGUUAGCUUACAAUUCAAAUAUGACUCUUUUAAGAAAAAACAUAGAUGCAACCUUACCCUAAUACUUCAUUGAAAAUAAAAUUGACAUUUAUAUUAUUAAUUCCAGUUUUAGAUACUAGGUAAGUUGGAGCAACAAUCAGUUUAGUCCAUCAAUAGCAGAGGAACAGUCUUCUACAUGCGAAUUUCAUUAUACCUGCUAAUCUUCAGUUUGGUGAACAUGGAAUUCACAGUAGAAAGUGAAGAAAAUUCUUCUGUACCAAAGAUGCGAAAUUAAAAUUCCAUCUUACAUCAAGUGAUAUGUUUAGCAUCAGGAGAUUAAGAUGGGUUACCGUUAGCAUUUCUUCCGAUGAGAAUAUUAUUUUUGGAUCAUCUUGCAAUGUUAAAUUGAUAGCUCACUGAACUGAACUUAGUUCAGUAGUCUAUGUUACUGUUAACUGGCUUUUCUGUUUGUCAAACUUCAACUUCAAACCUCAGAAUUUCGGCAGCUUCACUUGAUUUGCAUAAAUGUCUUUCGGGCUUUAGACCGAGGCAACCAUAUUGAAGGCUGAAGAUUGAAGAGGAAUUUAGGCAGAUGAUGAGUACAUACAACAAACCUAUUGAGCCUGAUCACGCUCUACAGCCAACAAAAGGCAACUGUCAGUUUAUUAAAUAGUAUUACUUUAUCCAUUUUAAAUUGUGUUACUGUCAUAUAUAGGAUCCCAACACUAAUUCCUCCAAGAAUAUUGCCUCCCAUGAAUGACAAAGCUCAACAGUUGCUUCGGGCUGGAAAUCAGCAUUUAGUUUGCAUGAAGAAAUCUACGAUCAUGAUGUUCUUCUUCGAUAUUUUGGAAGAUAUAUUUACUAUGCCUUCAAAAGUACAGGUUCCUCCAUCGUAUGUCAUACUUCAUGUUGAAUGCACCUGUCAAGUCGUUUAAAUAAAGUUGAAUAGCAAUUGUGAGCCAUGGUUCAAUUUAAUAGGUAAAACCAAAUACAGGUCUGAUUAGCCCAACAAAUAAACGCAUAACCUGCAUUCUUGGAGCUGGUACCAUUCUCUGUUUUCUGUGACAAUUAUUUAGAUCAUUAUACAAGUAUUCAGCUGCCGUUGCAACAAUUCUCAUUGCAUGUCUUCAUUGCAAAAGUUCGAUUGAUUUCAGCAAUCCAACUAUUCCUGAGAUAUAAACAUGAUGCAAUAGAUAUAGACAUCAACUUUUGUUUUUAGUUAGCUUAGAACUAUUUGUUAUUGCUAUCUGUUCUCUGCUCUCUGUUCUGCUAAUGACUGUAUUUAAGUUUGCAUGUACGCACUGUAUGAAAUUCCCUUUUCAUAUUGAUACUCAGUUAACUAACAUUACUUUUUUUUUUCUCUUGCAGGAUCAUCAUGCUUAUGUUUAGUUUUUUGAGAAAUUGUAUCUAACCUCAACUAUCUCAGUCACAGUGAUAACAACUCAUGAUCUUUACUACAAAGGCUAUUUUGUUGUAAUAUAAACAAA